GACGAACGCUGGCGGCGUGCUUAACACAUGCAAGUCGAACGGAAAGGCCCUGCUUUUGUGGGGUGCUCGAGUGGCGAACGGGUGAGUAACACGUGAGUAACCUGCCCUUGACUUUGGGGUAACUUCAGGAAACUGGGGCUAAUACCGGAUAGGAGCUCCUGCUGCAUGGUGGGGGUUGGAAAGUUUCGGCGGUUGGGGAUGGACUCGCGGCUUAUCAGCUUGUUGGUGGGGUAGUGGCUUACCAAGGCUUUGACGGGUAGCCGGCCUGGGAGGGUGACCGGCCACAUUGGGACUGAGAUACGGCCCAGACUCCUACGGGAGGCAGCAGUGGGGAAUAUUGCACAAUGGGCGGAAGCCUGAUGCAGCAACGCCGCGUGCGGGAUGACGGCCUUCGGGUUGUAAACCGCUUUCGCCUGUGACGAAGCGUGAGUGACGGUAAUGGGUAAAGAAGCACCGGCUAACUACGUG
Molecule: ribosomal RNA, 468 nt
Filed under: uncultured bacterium
Lineage: Bacteria
Description: partial 16S ribosomal RNA
Rfam family: Bacterial small subunit ribosomal RNA
Source: RNAcentral